Long non-coding RNA from Anas platyrhynchos (mallard), 898 nucleotides. RefSeq lists it as uncharacterized. Lineage: Eukaryota; Metazoa; Chordata; Aves; Anseriformes; Anatidae. The record is from RefSeq and is a predicted model, not a curated record.
UUACUUCUUUUUUUGAGCUGUGCUAUGCAGGUGUAUACCUUCAGCCCUGUCUGGGUCAUUGAGCCUUACACCACAGCUUUAUCUCCUGUGGCUUUUGUAAGGGCUGGGCAUGCCUGGGGUUGUUGCAGGUCUUGUCUCUAACUCAGCUCCUGUGGGUUAAUGCCCCUUGGUAUUCCCACAGCUUAUGGAGGCACCUCCUUGGACCCUGCUUGAAUCCUCCCAGCUUUUGAUGAGCUGCUAGCCCUUGCUGCUCCUUACCAAGUAAUGCUAGGUUCAAGAGAUCCACCCUAUCUGAUGCCAUGCACAAUUAUUCAGCUGGCUGCCUCCACCCACUUUCAAAGAGAAUUGGCUGGGCUGCUUUCUCUGGAUCACUGAACGGUUGAGAAAUGAGUUAACACCAAAGACCCUGAGAGAGGCAGCAAUCUCAUCUACCAAAUGAGGAAGUGAGUUCUCUGAAAAUCUGUAGAGGUAUAUGCAUCUUCUCUGAAGAAAUAUAAAAAUUGGACUGCACUGGCAAGAUAACCAGGAGGAUUAAAUGUGUACCAGCUUACUGUUUCACAGAAGAACUUCAGACUUGGUCUCUAGCCUUCCCUCAAACCAUCUUCUCCAGGAUACCUCGUCCAGACAAAAAAGAAAAGUUUUCCUAUUUCCUUUCACAAGCUAUGUGCAGGGAACUGAAAGAUGUCUAGAGAGGUGACUACCACAAAGAAAGACAUGCUUUCAGCCUUCUCUGAGAUGCCCCCAGUCCUUGUCACUGUCUGGUUUCCCUGUCAGACAGAUUUAGUGCACUGAACUUAUAACUCCUGGUAAAGAGACUAGACAUAAACCUUCCAGUUUGUUGCAUGAUGGAAUUACUCUGCUGUAAACGAGCAAUGAAUAAAUGUACUAAAGGAAAGCA